GAAGGAGGCCUCACUCUGUCGUUCAAGGCGGGGUUUUACGAUUGCACGUAAGAAUUCAAAUUCGUAUGUAAGAAAAGUAAAUCAUCAUAAAGUAAGUAACGCGGCCGGACCAAGAAAAGUGUGUAAGCAAUUCCCUGGUAAAAAAAUGGUCCACUAUUUGGAAACACACAUCUCGGCCGUUUUCCUGUGUGAGCGGUUUGUAUUGUGUGGUUUUAUACUUGAACUGAGUGAUAAAGUUUUCAUCACUGGCCUUGUCUUCAAAUUCAUCCAAUUGUUCAACCGUACUAAUUGGACUAAACACGCUUUGGUGACUCAUUAUCUCGUGCAGAAUCCUUUCGGCGACAUUGGGUUCCAUCAUGCGUGAUCCUGAUAGACAGAAUAGAGUGAAAUGCUUCCAAGAAUACACACCAAGCACGCACCAAACUACGCAUCGAACAAAAAGCCGGCUGGAACCAUCGAGCACAUUCGAUGUCAAAUCAACAAAAACAAUGUGUACGUCACCG
This is a long non-coding RNA of Anopheles cruzii, 503 nucleotides long. RefSeq lists it as uncharacterized. The record is from RefSeq and is a predicted model, not a curated record. Lineage: Eukaryota; Metazoa; Arthropoda; Insecta; Diptera; Culicidae. The transcript is spliced from 4 exons.